CUAAGAAUAUUCCGCAAUGGACGAAAGUCUGACGGAGCGACGCCGCGUGGAUGAAGAAGGCCGAAAGGUUGUAAAGUUCUUUUGUUGGGGAAGAAUAACCAUGGGAGGGAAUGCCCGUGGGAUGACAUGAACCGACGAAUAAGCCCCGGCUAACUACGUGCCAGCAGCCGCGGUAACACGUAGGGGGCGAGCGUUGUUCGGAAUUACUGGGCGUAAAGGGCAUGUAGGCGGUCUUGUAAGCUUGGCGUGAAAGACCACGGCUCAACCGUGGGAUUGCGUUGAGAACUGCGAGGCUUGAGUGACGGAGAGGGAGCUAGAAUUCCUGGUGUAGGGGUGGAAUCUGUAGAGAUCAGGAAGAAUACCAAUGGCGAAGGCAAGCUCCUGGCCGAUGACUGACGCUGAGGUGCGAAAGUGUGGGGA
RNAcentral lists this ribosomal RNA (420 nucleotides) under uncultured bacterium. RNAcentral describes it as "bacterial SSU rRNA". It matches the Rfam family "Bacterial small subunit ribosomal RNA", at positions 355 to 767 of the family's 1533-position model. The record is from RNAcentral.